GACGAACGCUGGCGGCAUGCCUAAUACAUGCAAGUUGAGCGCUGAAGGUUGGUACUUGUACCAACUGGAUGAGCAGCGAACGGGUGAGUAACGCGUGGGGAAUCUGCCUUUGAGCGGGGGACAACAUUUGGAAACGAAUGCUAAUACCGCAUAAAAACUUUAAACACAAGUUUUAAGUUUGAAAGAUGCAAUUGCAUCACUCAAAGAUGAUCCCGCGUUGUAUUAGCUAGUUGGUGAGGUAAAGGCUCACCAAGGCGAUGAUACAUAGCCGACCUGAGAGGGUGAUCGGCCACAUUGGGACUGAGACACGGCCCAAACUCCUACGGGAGGCAGCAGUAGGGAAUCUUCGGCAAUGGACGAAAGUCUGACCGAGCAACGCCGCGUGAGUGAAGAAGGUUGUCGGAUCGUAAAACUCUGUUGGUAGAGAAGAACGUUGGUGAGAGUGGAAAGCUCAUCAAGUGACGGUAACUACACAGAAAGGGACGGCUAACUACGUG
Molecule: ribosomal RNA, 497 nt
Filed under: uncultured bacterium
Lineage: Bacteria
Description: partial 16S ribosomal RNA
Rfam family: Bacterial small subunit ribosomal RNA
Source: RNAcentral